AAGAUGGGGGGACCAGCCUCCAAGGCUGAAUACGCCUGACUGCCCGAGAGUGAACCCGUACCGUGAGGGAAAGGCGAAAAGAACCCCUGUGAGGGGAGUGAAAUAGAACCUGAAACCGUGUGCAUACAAGCAGUCGGAGCCCCGCUACUUAAUUAUUUUGGAAUGAUAAUGUUCUACGUAUAUAUACUCAAAGGUGAAGAUGGUUCGCAUUAUUGUGGAUACACAUCAGACCUAAGACAACGAUUUGCCACCCACAACAGUGGUGGAAACAAAUCGACCAGUUACCAGCAAUGGCAACUACUAUAC
Molecule: ribosomal RNA, 306 nt
Filed under: Mycobacterium tuberculosis
Lineage: Bacteria; Bacillati; Actinomycetota; Actinomycetes; Mycobacteriales; Mycobacteriaceae
Description: partial 23S ribosomal RNA
Rfam family: Bacterial large subunit ribosomal RNA (bases 1-123)
Source: RNAcentral